GAUGAACGCUGGCGGCGGGCCUAAUACAUGCAAGUCGAGCGAACGGACGAGAAGCUUGCGUCUCUGAUGUUAGCGGCGGACGGGUGAGUAACACGUGGAUAACCUACCUAUAAGACUGGGAUAACUUCGGGAAACCGGAGCUAAUACCGGAUAAUAUUUUGAACCGCAGGGUUCAAAAGUGAAAGACGGUUCUGCUGUCACUUAUAGAUGGAGCCGCGCUGCAUUAGCUAGUUGGUAAGGUAACGGCUUACCAAGGCAACGAUGCAUAGCCGAUCUGAGAGGGUGAUCAGCCACACUGGAACUGAGACACGGUCCAGACUCCUACGGGAGGCAGCAGUAGGGAAUAUUCGGCAAUGGGCGAAAGCCUGACGGAGCAACGCCGCGUGAGUGAUGAAGGUCUUCGGAUCGUAAAGCUCUGUUAUUAGGGAAGAACAUCUGUGUAAGUAACUGUGCACAUCUUGACGGUACCUAAUCAGAAAGCCCCGGCUAACUACGUG
Molecule: ribosomal RNA, 497 nt
Filed under: uncultured bacterium
Lineage: Bacteria
Description: partial 16S ribosomal RNA
Rfam family: Bacterial small subunit ribosomal RNA
Source: RNAcentral